RNAcentral lists this ribosomal RNA (497 nucleotides) under uncultured bacterium. RNAcentral's name for it is "partial 16S ribosomal RNA". It matches the Rfam family "Bacterial small subunit ribosomal RNA", at positions 28 to 507 of the family's 1533-position model. The record is from RNAcentral.
GAUGAACGCUGGCGGCGUGCCUAAUACAUGCAAGUCGAGCGGACAGACGAGGAGCUUGCUCCUCUGACGUUAGCGGCGGACGGGUGAGUAACACGUGGAUAACCUACCUAUAAGACUGGGAUAACUUCGGGAAACCGGAGCUAAUACCGGAUAAUAUAUUGAACCGCAUGGUUCAAUAGUGAAAGACGGUUUUGCUGUCACUUAUAGAUGGAUCCGCGCCGCAUUAGCUAGUUGGUAAGGUAACGGCUUACCAAGGCAACGAUGCGUAGCCGACCUGAGAGGGUGAUCGGCCACACUGGAACUGAGACACGGUCCAGACUCCUACGGGAGGCAGCAGUAGGGAAUCCUCCGCAAUGGGCGAAAGCCUGACGGAGCAACGCCGCGUGAGUGAUGAAGGUCUUCGGAUCGUAAAACUCUGUUAUUAGGGAAGAACAAAUGUGUAAGUAACUAUGCACGUCUUGACGGUACCUAAUCAGAAAGCCACGGCUAACUACGUG